Molecule: regulatory RNA element, 26 nt
Organism: Beauveria bassiana D1-5
Lineage: Eukaryota; Fungi; Ascomycota; Sordariomycetes; Hypocreales; Cordycipitaceae
Rfam family: L25-Gammaproteobacteria ribosomal protein leader
Source: Rfam
CCUGCUGCUGGGUCGCCUGUAGCAGG